RNAcentral lists this ribosomal RNA (367 nucleotides) under uncultured bacterium. RNAcentral's name for it is "bacterial SSU rRNA". It matches the Rfam family "Bacterial small subunit ribosomal RNA", at positions 29 to 416 of the family's 1533-position model. The record is from RNAcentral.
AACGAACGCUGGCGGCAUGCCUAACACAUGCAAGUCGAACGGACGGUAGCAAUACCGUUAGUGGCGGACGGGUGAGUAACGCGUGGGAACCUGCCUCGAAGUUCGGAAUAACCGCGGGAAACUGCGGCUAAUACCGGAUGUGGCCUGAGGGUCAAAGGCGCAAGUCGCUUCGAGAGGGGCCCGCGUCCGAUUAGCUAGUUGGUGGGGUAACGGCCUACCAAGGCGACGAUCGGUAGCUGGUCUGAGAGGAUGAUCAGCCACACUGGGACUGAGACACGGCCCAGACUCCUACGGGAGGCAGCAGUGGGGAAUAUUGGACAAUGGGGGAAACCCGUGAUCCAGCAAUGCCGCGUGGGUGAUGAAGGCC